GUGUCAUCAUAUCUAAUGAGGACUGAGGUCCGUAUCGGUAGUCAGGGUGUAGUGUCAUCAUAUCUAAUGAGGACUGAGGUCCGUAUCGGUAGUCAGGGUGUAGUGUCAUCAUAUCUAAUGAGGACUGAGGUCCGUAUCGGUAGUCAGGGUGUAGUGUCAUCAUAUCUAAUGAGGACUGAGGUCCGUAUCGGUAGUCAGGGUGUAGUGUCAUCAUAUCUAAUGAGGACUGAGGUCCGUAUCGGUAGUCAGGGUGUAGUGUCAUCAUAUCUAAUGAGGACUGAGGUCCGUAUCGGUAGUCAGGCUGUAGUGUCAUCAUAUCUAAAGAGGACUGAGGUCCGUAUCGGUCAUCAGGGUGUAGUGUCAUCAUAUCUAAUGAGGACUGAGGUCCGUAUCGGUAGUCAGGGUGUAG
Molecule: long non-coding RNA, 409 nt
Organism: Oncorhynchus keta (chum salmon)
Lineage: Eukaryota; Metazoa; Chordata; Actinopteri; Salmoniformes; Salmonidae
Exons: 3
Source: RefSeq, a predicted model, not a curated record